UACGAAGGGGCGUAGCGUUGUUCGGAAUCACUGGGCGGUAAAGACGCACGUAGGCGGAUCUUUAAGUCAGGGGUGAAAUCCCGAGGCUCAACCUCGGAACUGCCUUUGAUACUGGAGAUCUUGAGUCCGGAAGAGGUGAGUGGAACUGCGAGUGUAGAGGUGAAAUUCGUAGAUAUUCGCAAGAACACCAGUGGCGAAGGCGGCUCACUGGUCCGGUACUGACGCUGAGGUGCGAAAAGCGUGGGGAGC
This 249-nucleotide ribosomal RNA is filed under the name uncultured bacterium. RNAcentral describes it as "partial 16S ribosomal RNA". It matches the Rfam family "Bacterial small subunit ribosomal RNA", at positions 524 to 769 of the family's 1533-position model. The record is from RNAcentral.